Triticum aestivum (bread wheat) is the source of this 115-nucleotide non-coding RNA. NCBI's taxonomy places the organism in Eukaryota, Viridiplantae, Streptophyta, Magnoliopsida, Poales, Poaceae. The record is from Rfam.
AUAAUACUCCCUCCGUCCAGAAUUACUUGUCAUCAAAAUGGAUGUGUCUAGAACUAAAAUACAUCUAGAUACAUCCAUUUCAAUGACAAGUAUUUUUGGACGGAGGGAGUAGUAG